This 253-nucleotide ribosomal RNA is filed under the name uncultured bacterium. RNAcentral's name for it is "partial 16S ribosomal RNA". It matches the Rfam family "Bacterial small subunit ribosomal RNA", at positions 524 to 776 of the family's 1533-position model. The record is from RNAcentral.
UACGGAGGGUGCAAGCGUUAUCCGGAUUCACUGGGUUUAAAGGGUGCGUAGGCGGGUUGGUAAGUCCGUGGUGAAAUCCCCAAGCUUAACUUGGGAACUGCCGUGGAUACUAUCAAUCUUGAAUAUCGUGGAGGUAAGCGUAAUAUGUCAUGUAGCGGUGAAAUGCUUAGAUAUGACAUAGAACACCAAUUGCGUAGGCAGCUUACUACACGAUCAUUGACGCUGAGGCACGAAAGCGUGGGGAGCAAACAGG